Molecule: ribosomal RNA, 193 nt
Filed under: uncultured bacterium
Lineage: Bacteria
Description: partial 16S ribosomal RNA
Rfam family: Bacterial small subunit ribosomal RNA
Source: RNAcentral
ACGCUCGACACCUACGGGAGGUAGCAGUGGGGAAUAUUGCACAAUGGGGGAAACCCUGAUGCAGCGACGCCGCGUGAGCGAAGAAGUAUUUCGGUAUGUAAAGCUCUAUCAGCAGGGAAGAAAAUGACGGUACCUGACUAAGAAGCCCCGGCUAACUACGUGCCGNNGCGCGAUACUNAGCGGCGUGNGAGNG